CAGCAGCCACGGUAAUACGUAGGGUGCAAGCGUUAAUCGGAAUUACUGGGCGUAAAGCGUGCGCAGGCGGUUAUAUAAGACAGAUGUGAAAUCCCCGGGCUCAACCUGGGAACUGCAUUUGUGACUGUAUAGCUAGAGUACGGCAGAGGGGGAUGGAAUUCCGCGUGUAGCAGUGAAAUGCGUAGAUAUGCGGAGGAACACCGAUGGCGAAGGCAAUCCCCUGGGCCUGUACUGACGCUCAUGCACGAAAGCGUGGGGAGCAAACAGGAUUAGAUACCCCUGUAGUCCCUGUCUCUUAUAA
RNAcentral lists this ribosomal RNA (301 nucleotides) under uncultured bacterium. RNAcentral describes it as "partial 16S ribosomal RNA". It matches the Rfam family "Bacterial small subunit ribosomal RNA", at positions 509 to 809 of the family's 1533-position model. The record is from RNAcentral.